AUGGAACUGGAAGCUGAGGAGAAACCAAUCAACUGUGGAACAGCUGAACAAAUUGUCAUGGACAGCCCCAGAUCCUUAGACCCAGAUAAAUGCCAGCUUAUGGGUGAGGUCUCUGCUCAGCAGUAUCCAAGGCCAGGGGAGGAGAUGGGGGCCCAGGCUCAGCUCCUCUGCUCUCUGCUGCUCUGGAUCUCAGGUUCCAGGGGGGCCAUUGUGGUGACUCAGUCUCCAGAAUUUUUGUCAGUGUCUCCAGGAGAGAGGGUCACCCUUAGCUGCAAGACCAGCUCGGGUGUUAGUAAUGAUUUAGAUUGGUACCAACAGAAGCCAGGGGAGGCUCCCAAGCUCCUAAUUUAUUAUACAAACAACCUGCAUACUGGGGUCCCUGCCCGGUUCAGUGGCAGUGGAUCUGGCACAGAUUACUCCCUCACAAUCAGUAAAGUGGAGACUGAGGACGCUGCAGUCUAUUACUGCCAGCAGGACUAUAGCUGGCCUCUCACAGUGAUACAUGCAAUAGAUCUGAUCCUGAAACAGGGGGGAAGAUACUACCCGGAGGCUGUGGAGCCAGGAGGCAGGAUCCAGGGUCCAUCUGUGGGACAGUGA
Non-coding RNA from Antechinus flavipes (yellow-footed antechinus), 597 nucleotides. Lineage: Eukaryota; Metazoa; Chordata; Mammalia; Dasyuromorphia; Dasyuridae. The record is from the annotation of a RefSeq genome assembly.